GUAGGGAAUAUUGGUCAAUGGAUGGAAGUCUGAACCAGCCAUGCCGCGUGCAGGAAGAAGGCCUUCUGGGUUGUAAACUGCUUUUGCCAGGGGAUAAAAAUUCUUUGCGAAGAAAAUUGAAGGUACCUGGUGAAUAAGCACCGGCUAACUACGUGCCAGCAGCCGCGGUAAUACGUAGGGUGCAAGCGUUGUCCGGAUUUAUUGGGUUUAAAGGGUGCGUAGGCGGCCCUGUAAGUCAGUGGUGAAAUACUCCAGCUUAACUGGAGGGGUGCCAUUGAUACUGCAGGGCUUGAGUUAAGUUGAAGUUGGCGGAAUUGACGGUGUAGCGGUGAAAUGCUUAGAUAUCGUCAAGAACACCGAUAGUGAAGACAGCUAACUAAACUUUUACUGACGCUGAGGCACGAAAGUGUGGGGAUCAAACAGGAUUAGAAACCCCGGUAGUCC
Molecule: ribosomal RNA, 444 nt
Filed under: uncultured bacterium
Lineage: Bacteria
Description: bacterial SSU rRNA
Rfam family: Bacterial small subunit ribosomal RNA
Source: RNAcentral